UGCUUAACACAUGCAAGUCGAACGGAAAGGCCCUGCUUUUGUGGGGUGCUCGAGUGGCGAACGGGUGAGUAACACGUGAGUAACCUGCCCUUGACUUUGGGAUAACUUCAGGAAACUGGGGCUAAUACCGGAUAGGAGCUCCUGCUGCAUGGUGGGGGUUGGAAAGUUUCGGCGGUUGGGGAUGGACUCGCGGCUUAUCAGCUUGUUGGUGGGGUAGUGGCUUACCAAGGCUUUGACGGGUAGCCGGCCUGAGAGGGUGACCGGCCACAUUGGGACUGAGAUACGGCCCAGACUCCUACGGGAGGCAGCAGUGGGGAAUAUUGCACAAUGGGCGGAAGCCUGAUGCAGCAACGCCGCGUGCGGGAUGACGGCCUUCGGGUUGUAAACCGCUUUCGCCUGUGACGAAGCGUGAGUGACGGUAAUGGGUAAAGAAGCACCGGCUAACUACGUGCCAGCAGCCGCGGUGAUACGUAGGGUGCGAGCGUUGUCCGGAUUUAUUGGGCGUAAAGGGCUCGUAGGUGGUUGAUCGCGUCGGAAGUGUAAUCUUGGGGCUUAACCCUGAGCGUGCUUUCGAUACGGGUUGACUUGAGGAAGGUAGGGGAGAAUGGAAUUCCUGGUGGAGCGGUGGAAUGCGCAGAUAUCAGGAGGAACACCAGUGGCGAAGGCGGUUCUCUGGGCCUUUCCUGACGCUGAGGAGCGAAAGCGUGGGGAGCGAACAGGCUUAGAUACCCUGGUAGUCCACGCUGUAAACGGUGGGUACUAGGUGUGGGGUCCAUUCCACGGGUUCCGUGCCGUAGCUAACGCUUUAAGUACCCCGCCUGGGGAGUACGGCCGCAAGGCUAAAACUCAAAGGAAUUGACGGGGCCCCGCACAAGCGGCGGAGCACGCGGAUUAAUUCGAUGCAACGCGUAGAACCUUACCUGGGUUUGACAUGGAUCGGGAGUGCUCAGAGAUGGGUGUGCCUCUUUUUGGGGUCGGUUCACAGGUGGUGCAUGGCUGUCGUCAGCUCGUGUCGUGAGAUGUUGGGUUAAGUCCCGCAACGAGCGCAACCCUUGUUCACUGUUGCCAGCACGUUAUGAUGGGGACUCAGUGGAGACCGCCGGGGUCAACUCGGAGGAAGGUGGGGAUGACGUCAAGUCAUCAUGCCCCUUAUGUCCAGGGCUUCACGCAUGCUACAAUGGCUGGUACAGAGAGUGGCGAGCCUGUGAGGGUGAGCGAAUCUCGGAAAGCCGGUCUCAGUUCGGAUUGGGGUCUGCAACUCGACCUCAUGAAGUCGGAGUCGCUAGUAAUCGCAGAUCAGCAACGCUGCGGUGAAUACGUUCCCGGGGCUUGUACACACCGCCCGUCAAGUCAUGAAAGUUGGUAACACCCGAAGCCGGUGGCCUAACCGUUGUGGGGGAGCCGUCGAAGGUGGGACUGGUGAUUAGGACUAAGUCG
Molecule: ribosomal RNA, 1437 nt
Filed under: uncultured organism
Description: 16S ribosomal RNA
Rfam family: Bacterial small subunit ribosomal RNA
Source: RNAcentral